RNAcentral lists this small nuclear RNA (128 nucleotides) under Cervus hanglu yarkandensis (Yarkand deer). RNAcentral's name for it is "U4 spliceosomal RNA (ENSCHYG00000013548.1)". The stretch from base 1 to 79 matches the Rfam family "U4 spliceosomal RNA". Rfam says of the family: U4 small nuclear RNA (U4 snRNA) is a component of the major U2-dependent spliceosome. Lineage: Eukaryota; Metazoa; Chordata; Mammalia; Artiodactyla; Cervidae. The record is from RNAcentral.
AACUUUGCGCAGUGGCAGUAUCAUAGCCAGUGAGGUUUAUCCAAGGCCGAUUAUUGCUAAUUGAAACUAAACUCUAAGGGAAUCUAACAUAACCACGUUUCUACACAGAAUGGAUUUCUUAAACUGGA